RNAcentral lists this ribosomal RNA (1265 nucleotides) under metagenome. RNAcentral describes it as "bacterial LSU rRNA". It matches the Rfam family "Bacterial large subunit ribosomal RNA", at positions 1644 to 2925 of the family's 2925-position model. The record is from RNAcentral.
GUACCAUAACCGACACAGGUGGGUAGGUAGAGUAUACUAAGGGGCGCGAGAUAACUCUCUCUCUAAGGAACUCGGCAAAAUGACUCCGUAACUUCGGGAGAAGGAGUGCCUUAUUUCAUAAGGUUGCAAUAACAAGAUCCAAGCAACUUUUACCAAAAACACAGGUCUCCGCUAAGUCGUAAGACGAUGUAUGGGGGCUGACGCCUGCCCAGUGCCAGAAGGUUAAAGAAGUUGGUUAGCCUAGCGAAGCUGAUGACUGAAGCCCUGGUGAACGGCGGCCGUAACAAUAACGGUCCUAAGGUAGCGAAAUUCCUUGUCGGGUAAGUUCCGACCCGCACGAAAGGCGUAAUGAUUUGGAUACUGUCUCGGAGAGGGGCUCGGUGAGAUAGACUUGUCUGUGAAGAUGCGGACUACCUGCACCUGGACAGAAAGACCCUAUGAAGCUUUACUGUAACUUGAGAUUGAAAUUGGACUUUAUUUGCGCAGUAUAGGUGGGAGACGUUGAGAAUACUCUUGCGGGAGUAUUGGAGUCAUCAGUGAGAUACCACUCUUGUAAUGUUAGAUUUCUAACUUUGGAUCAUUAUCUGGUCAAAGGACAGUUUCAGGCGGGCAGUUUGACUGGGGCGGUCGCCUCCCAAACGGUAACGGAGGCGCACAAAGGUUUCCUCUGAACGUGUAGAAAUCGUAUCUAGAGUGUAAAGGCAUAAGGAAGCUUGACUGUGAGACCUACAAGUCGAGCAGGGACGAAAGUCGGUCUUAGUGAUCUGACGGUGCUGAGUGGAAAGGCCGUCACUCAACGGAUAAAAGUUACUCUAGGAUAACAGGCUGAUCUCCCCCAAGAGUUCACAUCGACGGGGAGGUUUGGCACCUUGAUGUCGGCUCAUCGCAUCCUGGGGCGGUAGUACGUCCCAAGGGUUGGGCUGUUCGCCCAUGAAAGCGGUACGCGAGCUGGGUUCAGAACGUCGUGAGGCAGUUCGGUCCAUAUCCGGUGUAGGCGUUAGAAUAUUGAGAGGAGCCUUCUUUAGUACGAGAGGACCGAGAAGGACAUACCUCUGGUGUACCAGUUAUCGUGCCAACGGUAAACGCUGGGUAGCUAUGUAUGGAGUGGAUAACCGCUGAAAGCAUCUAAGUGGGAAGCCCACCUCAAGAUAAGUAUUCUCAUCACGAAAGUGAGUAAGGUCACGGUAAGACUAACCGUUUGAUAGGCAUUAAGUGUAAAUGUAGCAAUAUAUGAGCUGAGAUGUCCUAACAGACCGAGGACUUGA